AGGGGGUUUAGCGAUCCCAAGAAGCGAUUCAGGCCUGGGGGCAGGAGGAGGCGGCGCUGUCUCGUGGACCUAGGUAAAAAGUCCCUGAUCUCUAGGUACCCAGCCUCGCUCCGUGAGGUGCGCGCUGUCUGCUCCAGAAUGGCGCUAGCUUUUCUCUGAGAAGCCGGGGAGUUGCGCCGCUCAGCCGUGUUCCCGCAGGGGGCCGAGGUGUAGCCGCGGUGCAGCCGACGUGUGCACGUGGGCGUGUGUGUGUGCACGCGCGGAGCGGCCAGCGAGCGUGCGUUUCCGUUACGGGAGCGCAGGUCGCCUGUGCCCGCGGCUGCAUCCGAGCGCCGGGCGCCCCCUCCCGUCGCAGUCCCCUCCCCCGGUGGCUCCCGCUUUCCCCUCCCCCGGCAGCGUCAGCCGUCUCCGGGUGCGCAGGGCAGCGCUCGGCCUCGAGCUCCUCCUGCGGCCGCCUUCAGCUCCAGUGCUGAUCCCGCGGCGCGCGCCGCGCCCCCUCCCAGCCGCCGAGCGACGAUGAACCGCUGCGCGGGGGUCGCGGAGAGCAGUGAUGAUCACAGUGCUUCUUCAGAAGAAAAAGGUAUGGUAACUUAAAUAAAUGAUGAGUUAUUGGAAAAUUUAAACCAUACUAUGUGAAACAUUUGCAUUUUUAGAAGAGGAUUUCUUUUAAUUGAGUUCUACUUAUUGGAUUCACUUGCUUUGCUAUAUUCAUGCAUUGACAGAAUUAUAAAAGU
This 734-nucleotide long non-coding RNA is filed under the name Dasypus novemcinctus (nine-banded armadillo). RNAcentral's name for it is "lncRNA (ENSDNOG00000051480.1)". Lineage: Eukaryota; Metazoa; Chordata; Mammalia; Cingulata; Dasypodidae. The record is from RNAcentral.